Molecule: ribosomal RNA, 115 nt
Filed under: Mangrovicoccus algicola
Lineage: Bacteria; Pseudomonadati; Pseudomonadota; Alphaproteobacteria; Rhodobacterales; Paracoccaceae
Source: RNAcentral
UUUGGUGAUCACAGCACAAGUGAAACACCCGGUCCCAUCCCGAACCCGGAAGUUAAGCACUGUCGCGCCGAUGGUACUGCGUCUCAAGACGUGGGAGAGUAGGUCAUCGCCAGAC